AUUGAACGCUGGCGGCAGGCCUAACACAUGCAAGUCGAGCGGAUGAAGGGAGCUUGCUCCUGGAUUCAGCGGCGGACGGGUGAGUAAUGCCUAGGAAUCUGCCUGGUAGUGGGGGAUAACGUCCGGAAACGGGCGCUAAUACCGCAUACGUCCUGAGGGAGAAAGUGGGGGAUCUUCGGACCUCACGCUAUCAGAUGAGCCUAGGUCGGGUUAGCUAGUUGGUGGGGUAAAGGCCUACCAAGGCGACGAUCCGUAACUGGUCUGAGAGGAUGAUCAGUCACACUGGAACUGAGACACGGCCCAGACUCCUACGGGAGGCAGCAGUGGGGAAUAUUGGACAAUGGGCGAAAGCCUGAUCCAGCCAUGCCGCGUGUGUGAAGAAGGUCUUCGGAUUGUAAAGCACUUUAAGUUGGGAGGAAGGGCAGUAAGUUAAUACCUUGCUGUUUUGACGUUACCAACAGAAUAAGCACCGGCUAACUUCGUG
RNAcentral lists this ribosomal RNA (484 nucleotides) under uncultured bacterium. RNAcentral's name for it is "partial 16S ribosomal RNA". It matches the Rfam family "Bacterial small subunit ribosomal RNA", at positions 30 to 507 of the family's 1533-position model. The record is from RNAcentral.